CCUACGGGGGGCAGCAGUGGGGAAUAUUGGACAAUGGGGGGAACCCUGAUCCAGCCAUGCCGCGUGUGUGAAGAAGGCCCUCGGGUUGUAAAGCACUUUCAGUGAGGAAGAACGCCUGGUGGUUAAUACCCAUCAGGAAAGACAUCACUCACAGAAGAAGCACCGGCUAACUCCGUGCCAGCAGCCGCGGUAAUACGGAGGGUGCGAGCGUUAAUCGGAAUUACUGGGCGUAAAGCGCGCGUAGGUGGCUUGAUAAGCCGGUUGUGAAAGCCCCGGGCUCAACCUGGGAACGGCAUCCGGAACUGUCCAGCUAGAGUGCAGGAGAGGAAGGUAGAAUUCCCGGUGUAGCGGUGAAAUGCGUAGAGAUCGGGAGGAAUACCAGUGGCGAAGGCGGCCUUCUGGACUGACACUGACACUGAGGUGCGAAAGCGUGGGUAGCAAACAGGAUUAGAUACCCUGGUAGUC
Molecule: ribosomal RNA, 465 nt
Filed under: Vreelandella stevensii
Lineage: Bacteria; Pseudomonadati; Pseudomonadota; Gammaproteobacteria; Oceanospirillales; Halomonadaceae
Description: partial 16S ribosomal RNA
Rfam family: Bacterial small subunit ribosomal RNA
Source: RNAcentral